CGUUUAUUUGAUAGUGCCUUACUACUUGGAUAACCGUGGUAAUUCUAGAGCUAAUACAUGCUAAAAACCCCGACUUCGGAAGGGGUGUAUUUAUUAGAUACAAAACCAAUGCCCUUCGGGGCUCCUUGGUGAUUCAUGAUAACUAUACGAAUCGCACGGCCUUGCGCCGGCGAUGGUUCAUUCAAAUUUCUUCCCUAUCAACUUUCGAUGUUUGGGUAUUGGCCAAACAUGGUUGCAACGGGUAACGGAGGGUUAGGGCUCGACCCCGGAGAAGGAGCCUGAGAAACGGCUACUACAUCCAAGGAAGGCAGCAGGCGCGCAAAUUACCCAAUCCCGACUCGGGGAGGUAGUGACAAUAAAUACUGAUACAGGGCCCUUUCGGGCCUUGUAAUUGGAAUGAGUACAAUUUAAAUCCCUUAACGAGGAACAAUUGGAGGGCAAGUCUGGUGCCAGCAGCCGCGGUAAUUCCAGCUCCAAUAGCGUAUAUUAAAGUUGUUGUGGUUAAAAAGCUCGUAGUUGAACCUUGGGCCUGGCUGGCCGGUCCGCCUCACCGCGUGCACUGGUCCGGCCGGGCCUUUCCCUCUGUGGAACCCCAUACCCUUCACUGGGCGUGGCGGGGAAACAGGACAUUUACUUUGAAAAAAUUAGAGUGCUCCAGGCAGGCCUAUGCUCGAAUACAUUAGCAUGGAAUAAUAAAAUAGGACGCGCGGUUCUAUUUUGUUGGUUUAUAGGACCGCCGUAAUGAUUAAUAGGGACAGUCGGGGGCAUCAGUAUUCAACUGUCAGAGGUGAAAUUCUUGGAUCAGUUGAAGACUAACUACUGCGAAAGCAUUUGCCAAGGAUGUUUUCAUUAAUCAGGAACGAAAGUUAGGGGAUCGAAGACGAUCAGAUACCGUCGUAGUCUUAACCAUAAACUAUGCCGACUAGGGAUCGGACGGUGUUAUUCAUGACCCGUUCGGCACCUUACGAGAAAUCAAAGUGCUUGGGCUCCAGGGGGAGUAUGGUCGCAAGGCUGAAACUUAAAGAAAUUGACGGAAG
RNAcentral lists this ribosomal RNA (1037 nucleotides) under Sarocladium sp. Its description in RNAcentral is "SSU rRNA". It matches the Rfam family "Eukaryotic small subunit ribosomal RNA", at positions 114 to 1162 of the family's 1831-position model. The record is from RNAcentral. Lineage: Eukaryota; Fungi; Ascomycota; Sordariomycetes; Hypocreales; Sarocladiaceae.